GCCCCGCCCCCAGCGCGCGCGGUCUGACGUCACUUCCGCCGGCGACCCCCUCCAGACCCGCUCCCGAAACCCUGUCAAAGGACCAAAGGCGACCCGUGCAGGUGCACGACGCCAGCUCCCUUCUUGGGGGCGGGGGCCUGGGGGCUGCCAUGGCCCCCAGCCACCUGUCAGUGCGGGAGAUGAGGGAGGAUGAGAAGCCCCUGGUGCUGGAGAUGCUGAAGGCCGGCGUGAAGGACACGGAAAACCGCGUGGCCCUCCAUGCCUUGACACGGCCGCCGGCCCUGCUCCUCCUGGCGGCGGCCAG
Long non-coding RNA from Mandrillus leucophaeus (drill), 304 nucleotides. RefSeq lists it as uncharacterized. The record is from RefSeq and is a predicted model, not a curated record. Lineage: Eukaryota; Metazoa; Chordata; Mammalia; Primates; Cercopithecidae. The transcript has 3 exons.